RNAcentral lists this non-coding RNA (30 nucleotides) under Homo sapiens (human). Lineage: Eukaryota; Metazoa; Chordata; Mammalia; Primates; Hominidae. The record is from RNAcentral.
UAAAAAAGCGAGGGGAUGGAUUCCACUUUC